GGAGAAAGAGAUGGAGAAGCAGAUGGAUAACUGCAGCUUGACAGGAGACGCCAGGCCUCCAACUACACAGUGUUCAGUCCAGGGCUCUCCCAUCAGGUCCAGGCCCCUCCUCCCCUUUACCUUUGCCACACCACAGCUGCUACGUCCACACCCCAUGUCUGCCAGGCUGGUACAGACUGACAGGCGUGUGCACAGAUCCAGGCAGGAGGAACAUGUUCAGUCAAUCG
Molecule: long non-coding RNA, 227 nt
Organism: Etheostoma spectabile (orangethroat darter)
Lineage: Eukaryota; Metazoa; Chordata; Actinopteri; Perciformes; Percidae
Exons: 3
Source: RefSeq, a predicted model, not a curated record